This 1242-nucleotide ribosomal RNA is filed under the name metagenome. Its description in RNAcentral is "bacterial SSU rRNA". It matches the Rfam family "Bacterial small subunit ribosomal RNA", at positions 97 to 1394 of the family's 1533-position model. The record is from RNAcentral.
GGCGGACGGGUGAGUAACGCGUAAGAAUCUACCCAAGAGUUCUGAAUAACCUGUCGAAAGACGGGCUAAUACGGAAUAGUAUCUCCGGAUUAAAGGGUUUAACUACCCGCUUUUGGAUGAGCUUGCGUCCUAUCAGCUAGUUGGUGAGGUAAAGGCCCACCAAGGCUAUGACGGGUAUCUGGACUGAGAGGUCGGACAGACACAGGGGCACUGAGACACGGGCUCCACAUCUACGGAUGGCAGCAACCAGGAAUAUUGGGCAAUGGGCGAAAGCCUGACCCAGCGACGCCGCGUGGAGGAUGAAGGCCUUAGGGUCGUAAACUCCUUUUGCCAAGCUCUUCACAGCUUGGCGAAUAAGCACCUACUAACUACGUGCCAGAAGUCUCGGUAAUACGUAGGGUGCAAGCGUUAUCCGGAUUUACUGGGCGUAAAGAGUGUGUAGGCGGUCUUUUAAGUCUCUAUUUAAAGACCGGGGCUUAACCCCGGUUCUGGUAGGGAUACUAUUUGACUGGAAGAUUAUUCGGGUUGCUGGAACAGUUGGUGUAGUGGUGAAAUACGUUGAUAUCAACUGGAACACCGAAGGCGAAGGCAAGUAACUAGGAUUUUCUUGACGCUGAGACACGAAAGCCAGGGGAGCGAAACAGAUUAGAGACCUGUGUAGUCCUGGCCGUAAACGAUGGAUACUAGCUAGUGUGCAAGCACUGGCGUAAGCUAACGCGUUAAGUAUCCUCCUGGGGAGUACGACCGCAAGGUUAAAACUCAAAGGAAUUGACGGGGACCCGCACAACCAGUGGAGCGUGUGGUUUAAUUCGAGACGAAGCGAAAAACCUCACCAAGGCUUGACAUGCUAGAGUUCUAGUCACCCCAAAAGGUGAUGAUUCGUAAGAAGACUAGCACAGGUGCUGCAUGGCUGUCGUCAGCUCGUGCCGUGAGGUGUUCCCUUAAGUGGGGAAACGAGUGCAACCCUUGUCUAAUGUUAAAUAUUCAUUAGAGACUGCCUGACUUUUGUCAGGAGGAAGGAAAGGCGGACGUCAAGUCAGCAUGGCCCUUAUGCCUUGGGCUACACACACCCUACAAUGGCGAAGAACAAUGGGUCGCAAGCUCGCAAGAGCAAGCUAAUCUCAGAAAUUUCGCCUCAGUUCAGAUUGGGGUCUGCAACUCGACCCCAUGAAGUUGGAAUUGGUAGUAAUCGCGGAUCAGCGGGCCGCGGUGAAUACGUUAUCGGGUCUUGUACACACCGUC